UGGGAAGAGUGAAAGAGUGGCCUCACAGAGCUCACGACACGCUAUUUCAGAUUUUUUCUUUUCUCUUUUCUAUUUUUAAGACAGGUCUCGCUACAUUGCCCAAGCUGGUCUCAAACUCCUGGGCUCGUGAUCCUCCUGCCUUGGCCUCCCAAAGUGCUGGGAUUAUAGAUGUGAGCCACAGCGCCUGACCAGUUCCCAAUUUCUGAGGUCAUCAAGCCCUCCUUGCAUUUCGUGGCCUACCUUCUGUGCAGGGACCUCUGCUUGGCAGGCUGGCUUGUCUAUGCCCCCAGACGGAGCUGCUGGAAUUACAAGCAGGGCAGGAGACUUCUGCAAGGCGGGGUUGACCUGCUCUCCAAGGCAGUGCCCGUGGGGUGGGCUUAUGAGCUGACUUGCAGAACAGCUGUCCCAGUGAGGCCCCUGGGACUCAUGUGUCUGUCCCCUGGGGCUGCACAUUGCUUGAGUGGCCUGUGAGGUGGCUUGGGAUGGAUUUAGCAGUGGCCACACUGCACUGCUCUGCGCCUCACCACGGCAGCAGGAUGGAACGAGGAGGGAGUGACGAGGGCUCACACCAGCCUCCAGCGGCCAGACAACUUGAUGGUGGUUCCAGGGCCUGUCCAGUCUCUCCAUGGGCACCGGGAGAAUGAGUCUCUCCUUACUUACUCCCAGGCUCCUGCCCCUCCCGCAUCCCGACACCAUGGCUUGUUUUUUCUGGGCUGGCCCAGCCUUUCCCUAGGGUCCUAUCACCUUUGUCCCCUCCACACCCCUUUCUGUGUUUCUAGGAAAAUCGGAGCCUCUCCUCCAUCCUUCUCCUACUCUCCUAGGCAGGGGGAGAGAAGUGACCAGUGGACCCAGCUGGGUACAGGAUGGUAUCUGAAAACUCUUGAGACGUGGGGCAAGAGUUACAGCCGAUCCCUGCCCUCUCCUCAGAAAGAAGGCAAAGGAAAGAGAAGACUCCGGAAUCCCCUCCCUCAGCAAGGAAGUGGGUGCACUUUCCCGGGAGUCCGGCAAGGGCCUCUUCUCUUUCACGCUCUGAGAUUCCAAGGGUAGCAGCCCCCUUUGAGGUGCCUACAGCCUGCCGGUGCGUGGAGGAACUGGCAGACAAGAGGCCAACACCCACAAACUACCAAUGAUUCCAAGGGUCUGAUGCAAGACCUCAGCCACCCUGGAGAUGACUCAGUGGUCAAGGUGAGCUGAAGGGUGGCCUCUCCUCCAAAGGGUACCUCUUCUCACACACAAGCCUGGGAGACUGGUCGUCUAGGGCUCAUAGACCAGUGUGGGCAUCAGAGACCCAGGUUCCUUCUAUUCAUCUGUUCCCCUUCCUAGCACGUGGCCUUUAUCCCAAGGUCUCCUUGUGGCCCAGAAAGACAGCUGGGCCUCCAGUCAUGACGUCAGGCUGGAAGGGGAAAAGUGGAGGAGCAAAGAGGGUCUAGCUCCUGCUUCUCAAGGAGUCUGCCCAGAAGUCCCACACGCAUUUGCUCACAUCCCAAUGGCCAGACUUUAGUGCACUGACCACACCUGGCUGCAGGAGAGGCGGGAAAUGUAGGGUGCUUUUUGUUUUCUUUAAGCUGAGCCCUUUGUCCAGGACUGUAGUGAGACACAAGGGAGAAAGGAGUGUUGGAAGGCAAUCAGGCACCUCGAUCCCAGGACAUUAGUGGUGACACCACGUAAAUAAGAUCAAGGCCUGCCCCUGCUUAACACUCUCCUGUCGCCUGCAGCCCCAGCCCCUGCACCAUGUUCCCACAGCCCUGAUCGAUCCAGGCCCUGCCCCACCCCUUCCUGACUCAUCUCCUCCUCCCUCUCCACUCAACACGUGUUGAGCUCAUUCCCCACGGCCCAGGGCCUUUGCACUUGCUGCCCCCCUGCCUCCAAUACAUUGCCCCAAGAUAUUUGCACAACUCACUCAUCUCAUCAUGUAGGCUCCGGCUUACAUGCCCCUCUCUAGAGGGCCUGCCCCACACUCCCUACCACAGUCACUCUCAGCCCCAUUACCUGUCUUCCAGAGCACCCAGAACACUCUGGAAUUUGCUCCUGUGUCCUGUGUUUAUGCUCUAUACGAGAGGGAAGACUGUCACUUUCGCCCGAAGCUCAGUGGCACAGCUGGAGAGGCUGCCCACAUGCAGGUGCAGAUGGAAGAGAAUCCUUCGCUUGUGUUUCCUCCUGCACAGCGGUCUGUGGGGGCCGGUAUGAGAAGGCUCUUGCCAGAGGCCUAGGUUCAGUCAGCCAUUCACGCAUUUUUGUUUGUUUGUUUGCUUUUAACUGAGACAGAGUCUUACUCUGUCAUCCAGGCUGGAGUGCAGUGGUGUGAUCUUGGCUCGCUGCAACCUCUGCUGCCUGGGUGCAGGCUAUUCUCGUGCCUCAGCCUCCCAAGUAGCUGGGAUUACAAGUGCUCACCUCCACGCCUGGCUAAUUUUUGUAUUUUUAGUAGAGGCAGGGUUUCACCAUGUUGGCCAGGCUGGUUUCGAACUCCUGAUCUCAAGUGGUCCACCCACCUUGGCCUCCCAAAGUGCUGGGAUUACAGGCAUGAGCCACCACGCCCGGCCUAGCCAUUUGUGCUAGGAAUGUUGUUUCUCCUCCCUCAGCCUCACUGUGGGACUUGGCAGUAGAAGGGUGGCUCCUUCGACUUCCGCCACGCCUGUCUGUCCACUUCAGAGGGAUGGGGUUUACGGACAGGGAGCCCUGCACUGGUGCUUGGCCACAAAUGUUCACACCACCUCAAGUCUAUGCCUGGGACUCGGUAGAUGCCUGGAGGGCUCGUCACCAUCACCCGGAUCCCUGCUCUCUCCCUGUGGCUGGGCUUCCUGUGUCUAUGGGCAUCUUUUUCUUGCUGUGCUCCCUUGUUAUGGAGCACAGCCUCAAGUAGCUUCCCGCGAAAGAAGGGAAGAGGCCUGAGGAAGACUUGCUUCUCAUUUAAGAAAUAGUUCAUCUGGGUAUAGAAUUGAGUUUGGAGAUAAUUUUCCUUCAGAAUUUUGAAAGCAUUACUUCUUGUCCUCUAGUUUCUCCAGAAACUCGCAGAAGCUUCUUUUCGUCCCUAGGCCUUUGGCGUUCGGCAGCAAUGUACUUUCGUGGGGGUGUUUUCAACCGCUGUGGUGAGCAACUGCGAAUCUUUUUAAUCCGCAAACUGGUGUCCCUCGUACCUGAGAGAUGUUCUUGAGUUAUUUCGUUUAGGAAUUCUCUCCCUCUGCUUUCCCUUCCUCGACUCCGGUUAUUCCUUGGUUGAAUCUCUUUAACUGAUCUUUGAUCUCCUCUUUUUCUUUGCUUUGUCUUUUUGCUGUUUUCUAGGAGGCUUCCUCCCUUUUGCCUUCUAAUCCAUCCUUUCGUUUCUUCUUCGUUUUAAAAAAUCACUCUUUUGUGCUUUUAAUUUCCAAGAACUCUCCUUUAACUCUGUCUCUGACCGUUUCUUUUGUUAGCACUUCAUGGAUGUAAUAUCUCUUAUCUCUCUGAGGUUGUUAAUAUACUGUGUAAAGGUUUUCUUCAGAGAUAAACUGAUAACCUUGCACCGUCUCUUUUUCACACUAUUGUUCUCUCUCUCUCUCUCUCUCUCUCUCUCUCUCUCUUUGAGAUGGAGUCUUGCUCUGUUGCCCAGGCUGGAGGGCAAUGGCACAAUCUCGGCUCACUGCAAGCCUCCACUUCCUGGGUUCAAGUGAUUCUCCUGCCUCAGCCUCCCAAGUAGCUGGGAUUACAGAUGCCCACCACCAUGCCCGGCUAAUGUUUGUAUUUUUAGUAGAGAUGGGGCUUCACCAUGUUGGCCAGGCUGGUCUCGAACUCCUGACCUCAAGUGAUCCACCCACCUCGGCCUCCCAAAGUGUUCGGAUUACAGGUGUGAAUCACUGUGUGUGGCCUUUUUUUUUCUUUCGUCUGCUUUGUUUCCUCUAUUCCACAAUGAGCUGUCCCUCAGCUGUCUUCUGAUCUGUGACUCAUCGGAUCAUAAUUAAGUACCAAAAUGCAGAUUGGAAGCUCCCAGAUCUUGGUGGGUCACUUGACGAAACUACCAGUGUUUGUAAGUUGAGGUCUUGCAUUUGGGCUGGCCGGAUCCCUGGGAAAGAUUCCAUCUCCUGCCUGGUGAAAAGCUCUGGCCGAUUGGCUUCUGGCACUGAUUAAGGGAAGGAAGCUGGGCAGGCGAGUCCCCGGAUUCUGUAGCCCCCGUUUUUAGUACAGCAGCUCUUAGCUGUGGUUUGCCUCUCCCAGUCCAGUGCAUAAACCGUGGACGUUUGCUAGGGGUUGGGGAGAGGAUAGGAGUAGUGAUCUAACAGCUUGGAGGGAGGUAGGGGAUCCAGAGUCUGCAAGUUUUCAAAAGCUUUUGCUCCACUCUUUCUUGUUUUAACUCCCAUUAAUCUCCAUUUCCAGGUGUUCCUGCAGCUGUAAGUUCCUGAGGCUCUGAGGGCUCUGAGGUGUGAAUAGAGUCGGAUCUCUUCUAGAGAAUCGAAUAGCCUAAGGUCCCGUCUAACCGAGCCCUCUCUGUCAGGUAUCACUCGUCCCUCUGUUCCCAGCUUCCAGUAUUGUGUUGCUGUCAUCUUCUCCUGACAUCUUUCUUAUCAAGUUGAUGUCUUUUAAAAAAUGAUUUGCUGUCCAGAUGCAGUGGUUCAUGCCUGUAAUCCCAACAUUUUGGGAGGCUGAGGUGGGAGGAUCACUUGAGGCCAGGAGUUUGAGAUCGGUCUGGGUGACAUAGUGAAAUUCCAUUUCCACAAAAUAUAAAACAAGCAGCGGGGCAUGGUGGUGCACUCCUGGAGUCCCAGCUACUUGGAAGGCUGAGGUGGGAGGAUCAAUGGAACCCAGGAGGUGAAGACUGUGGAACUAUGACUGCACCUCUAAAUGCCAGCCUGAACUACGAAGCAAGACCGUGUCGCUAAAAAAUAAAAAUAAAAUUUAAAAAUUUAUUUGCUGUAGUUUUAGUGGGUGCUGGGCAGGAGUGAAAUUAGGUAUGUGUGUCCUGUCUGCCAUCAUAUCUCACCCUCCACAGCUUACAAAGGAGGUGAUGGGGGUAAGAGUUAGGGCUUCCAAUAGAGAUGAACAGGCGCAGAACAUCUGACCCCCCCUCCUGUGUAGGGGCAAUCCUCACUUUAUGAGGCUGAGCCCACCACCCCUGUAGAAACUGACAGUGCCACAUGCAGACCUCCCUGUCAGUACUAGCAGCUAGGCUGGGAGUCUAUGCCCAGGCCCAGUUAGUAAGACGCUCCUACCCCAGCCAGGGGCGGUGGCUCACGCCUUUCAUCCCAGCACUUUGAGAGGCUGAGGCGGGUAGAUUACAAGGUCAGGAGUGUGAGCACCUGUAACAGUCCCAGCUACUCAGGAGGCGGAGGCAGGAGAAUCGCUUGAACCUGGGCGACGGAGGUUGCCGUGAGCUGAGAUCGCGUCAUUGCACUCCAGCCUGGGCAACAAGAGCGAAACUCCAUCUCAAAAAAAAAAAAAAAAAAAAGAUGCUCCCACCCCAGAUCUGGUUAGGAGCUAGUAAGCAAAGAAGCAGGAGUCGGGGAGGACCUUUGGGGCAGGGCCCAUGCUGCAUGCAAGCUGAGAAGAUGGGCACAGCCAGGGUGCUGGCAGCCUUGUUCCCACCAGCUGGGUUCUUCAAAGGAUUUGGAACAUGAUCAACCAAGAGCCCUAAGUAAUUC
RNAcentral lists this long non-coding RNA (5606 nucleotides) under Aotus nancymaae (Ma's night monkey). RNAcentral's name for it is "lncRNA (ENSANAG00000039425.1)". Lineage: Eukaryota; Metazoa; Chordata; Mammalia; Primates; Aotidae. The record is from RNAcentral.